Nannospalax galili (Upper Galilee mountains blind mole rat) is the source of this 1002-nucleotide long non-coding RNA. RefSeq lists it as uncharacterized. The transcript has 3 exons. The record is from RefSeq and is a predicted model, not a curated record. Lineage: Eukaryota; Metazoa; Chordata; Mammalia; Rodentia; Spalacidae.
CCAGUUUUGUUACUUGGAUAAAAGUCACAAGUCUGUGGUUCACCCUUCCUUCCCCGAGCCUCAGCUUGUCUGUCUCUGAAAUGGGAAUCAUCAGCCUGGAAAUGCUCCCAGUUUCUAAAACCAGAAUUGGUUGAAUCUGUGAAUGGUGAACCCAUGGAUAUGGAAAACUGAAAUUGGGACUUCAAUUCGUGAAUGCAGGAUACACAUUUCAGACUGUAGUACCUGCUAUGUCAGAAACUCUGAGCCAAUGCUGCUACAAAAUCUGCCAGCUGUGGACCUCUCCUCAAGUUAGAACCCUCUGAUUCCCUCCCUGCAGCACCCCUCAUGCCCAGAGAUGCUACAGACCUGGCAGGGGGUCUCCCAGGCCUAGUAUCACAGGAUGCUGUGUCCAUGGUAGCAGACAGUUCAUGUACCAAGUGUAUUCAUGGAUAAGCUGGAAGGAAAACAGCCAAGCUCCUUGCGACCUGACCUUCCUGGGGGGCUCGGAAGAGCCUUCUUCCCCACCUUCCACCAGCAAGGAGCCCUGGGACUCAAGGAAUCAUAGUGAGAAGACAAACUGGAGGCUUAACCACACGACUCACCACGGCGGCUCUGCCGGGUUGAGAAAAGGCUGAGAAGGCUGGUCUCUGGCCCCAGUCAGGCUCUUGUCCACUCAAAGAAACUCUUUGAAGGUCUGUGUUGUAGACUGAAUCCUGUGCCUUCCCCCAACCCCUUCAUUUAUUGAAGCCUAAUCUCUGUUGUGAACAAAGCAUGAGACAGGGGCUUUAGGGAGGGCCCUAAGGAUGGGGUCCUAAUCUGAUAGGACUGUAUCUUUAUGGGACAAGAAAAGGCUCUCUCUUCAUACCACAAGUGCCCAGCAAGAAGGUGGCUAUCCUUCAACCAGUGAGAGCCCUCCCCAGACUGAUCUUAGUCUUCUAGCCUCCAGAUUAUAAGGAAAUAUGUUACUGAUGUGCCCUGGUUUGAGGCCUUUUAUCCUGACCGCCCAAGCAGACUGAGAUAGUC